Molecule: long non-coding RNA, 510 nt
Organism: Phlebotomus argentipes
Lineage: Eukaryota; Metazoa; Arthropoda; Insecta; Diptera; Psychodidae
Exons: 2
Source: RefSeq, a predicted model, not a curated record
UUCGAUCACUUGUUGCCGAGGGAACAGAAUUUUGAAACCGUGGAAACGAAAUAAAACCAUGACACAUUCAUGCUUAACAACAGAGUUUUCUGCAAACCCAUCACGACUGUUUUCGGUACUUUUCCAGAGCAGAAAAAGUUUCUCACAUCACGACAAUUUGAGUAUAAAUACUCGGGAGUUUUCCUCAAUUGGCAUAGUCAGUUUGAGAAGUCAACUGAAGCAAUCCAAAUCAAUCCAAAAUGAUGAAGUUCCUGUUCUUCGCCCUCCUCGUCGUCCUGGCCGUUGCCACCGCCUUCGCUGCUCCUGAGCCAGCUCCUGCUCCAUUCCCCGCUCCUCUUCCAGCUCCCCAGGGCGGAUAUUACUACCCCUAUGGAUACUACGGAUACUACUAAGCCGAAGACCGAUGACGAACCCAGCCAAUACGAUGAAUGCCGCAAACUCUUCUGAUUCAUUGUAAAAUGGGUGAAAUGCCAUAAAAUCCCAGAAAUAUAUCUUGCACUGCAAAAGAAA